Molecule: unclassified non-coding RNA, 329 nt
Filed under: soil metagenome
Description: partial contains 5.8S ribosomal RNA, internal transcribed spacer 2, and large subunit ribosomal RNA
Rfam family: 5.8S ribosomal RNA (bases 1-120)
Source: RNAcentral
GAUGAAGAACGCAGCGAAAUGCGAUAAGUAAUGUGAAUUGCAGAAUUCAGUGAAUCAUCGAAUCUUUGAACGCACAUUGCGCCCCUUGGUAUUCCGAGGGGCAUGCCUAUUCGAGCGUCAUUAUCGCCCCUCAAGCCUAGCUUGGUGUUGAGGCCUGCUGUCAAGGCAGCCUCUAAAAUCAGUGGCAGUGCUGUCAGGCUCUAAGCGUAGUAAAUCUAAUCGCUAUAGACACCUGGUGGACACUCGCCAGAACCCCCCCAUUUUUUAAUGAUUGACCUCGGAUUAGGUAGGGAUACCCGCUGAACUUAAGCAUAUCAAUAAGCGGAGGA